This 497-nucleotide ribosomal RNA is filed under the name uncultured bacterium. Its description in RNAcentral is "partial 16S ribosomal RNA". It matches the Rfam family "Bacterial small subunit ribosomal RNA", at positions 28 to 507 of the family's 1533-position model. The record is from RNAcentral.
GAUGAACGCUGGCGGCGUGCCUAAUACAUGCAAGUCGAGCGAACGGACGAGAAGCUUGCUUUUCUGAUGUUAGCGGCGGACGGGUGAGUAACACGUGGAUAACCUACCUAUAAGACUGGGAUAACUUCGGGAAACCGGAGCUAAUACCGGAUAAUAUUUUGAACCGCAUGGUUCAAAAGUGAAAGACGGUCUUGCUGUCACUUAUAGAUGGAUCCGCGCUGCAUUAGCUAGUUGGUAAGGUAACGGCUUACCAAGGCAACGAUGCAUAGCCGACCUGAGAGGGUGAACGGCCACAAUGGAACUGAGAAACGGUCCAGACUCCUACGGGAGGCAGCAGUAGGGAAUCUACCGCAAUGGGCGAAAGCCUGACGGAGCAACGCCGCGUGAGUGAUGAAGGUCUUCGGAUCGUAAAACUCUGCUAUUAGGGAAGAACAUAUGUGUAAGUAACUGUGCACAUCUUGACGGUACCUAAUCAGAAAGCCACGGCUAACUACGUG